GUGAGUAACCUGCCCCUGACUCUGGGAUAAGCGUUGGAAACGACGUCUAAUACUGGAUAUGACUGCCGGCCGCAUGGUCUGGUGGUGGAAAGAUUUUUUGGUUGGGGAUGGACUCGCGGCCUAUCAGCUUGUUGGUGAGGUAAUGGCUCACCAAGGCGACGACGGGUAGCCGGCCUGAGAGGGUGACCGGCCACACUGGGACUGAGACACGGCCCAGACUCCUACGGGAGGCAGCAGUGGGGAAUAUUGCACAAUGGGCGAAAGCCUGAUGCAGCAACGCCGCGUGAGGGAUGACGGCCUUCGGGUUGUAAACCUCUUUUAGUAGGGAAGAAGCGAAAGUGACGGUACCUGCAGAAAAAGCACCGGCUAACUACGUGCCAGCAGCCGCGGUAAUACGUAGGGUGCAAGCGUUGUCCGGAAUUAUUGGGCGUAAAGAGCUCGUAGGCGGUUUGUCGCGUCUGCUGUGAAAUCCCGAGGCUCAACCUCGGGCUUGCAGUGGGUACGGGCAGACUAGAGUGCGGUAGGGGAGAUUGGAAUUCCUGGUGUAGCGGUGGAAUGCGCCAGAUAUCAGGAGGAACACCGAUGGCGAAGGCAGAUCUUCUGGGCCGUAACUGACGCUGAGGAGCGAAAGCGUGGGGAGCGAACAGGAUUAGAUACCCUGGUAGUCCACGCCGUAAACGUUGGGCGCUAGAUGUAGGGACCUUUUCCACGGUUUCUGUGUCGUAGCUAACGCAUUAAGCGCCCCGCCUGGGGAGUACGGCCGCAAGGCUAAAACUCAAAGGAAUUGACGGGGGCCCGCACAAGCGGCGGAGCAUGCGGAUUAAUUCGAUGCAACGCGAAGAACCUUACCAAGGCUUGACAUACACCGGAAACGGCCAGAGAUGGUCGCCCCCUUGUGGUCGGUGUACAGGUGGUGCAUGAUUGUCGUCAGCUCGUGUCGUGAGAUGUUGGGUUAGGUCCCGCAACGAGCGCAACCCUCGUUCUAUGUUGCCAGCGCGUUAUGGCGGGGACUCAUAGGAGACUGCCGGGGUCAACUCGGAGGAAGGUGGGGAUGACGUCAAAUCAUCAUGCCCCUUAUGUCUUGGGCUUCACGCAUGCUACAAUGGCCGGUACAAAGGGCUGCGAUACCGUAAGGUGGAGCGAAUCCCAAAAAGCCGGUCUCAGUUCGGAUUGAGGUCUGCAACUCGACCUCAUGAAGUCGGAGUCGCUAGUAAUCGCAGAUCAGCAACGCUGCGGUGAAUACGUUCCCGGGCCUUGUACACACCGCCCGUCAAGUCUUGA
RNAcentral lists this ribosomal RNA (1281 nucleotides) under Curtobacterium oceanosedimentum. Its description in RNAcentral is "bacterial SSU rRNA". It matches the Rfam family "Bacterial small subunit ribosomal RNA", at positions 117 to 1407 of the family's 1533-position model. Lineage: Bacteria; Bacillati; Actinomycetota; Actinomycetes; Micrococcales; Microbacteriaceae. The record is from RNAcentral.